UUUCCGUAGGUGAACCUGCGGAAGGAUCAUCACUGCAUGACCGCCUAUAGCACCCACCUGUGGAACGUCGGCCGCUCUCGUGCGGCGGGUCCUCUUUGGACCCGGCCGGGGCGGGGGCGGCGUCUUUCAAUUUUACACGCGAGUGCUGAUCUGAACGCGCCACGAAAAACAAAACACAACUUUUAACAACGGAUCUCUUGGUUCUC
This 206-nucleotide unclassified non-coding RNA is filed under the name plant metagenome. RNAcentral's name for it is "partial contains small subunit ribosomal RNA, internal transcribed spacer 1, and 5.8S ribosomal RNA". The record is from RNAcentral.